Molecule: ribosomal RNA, 253 nt
Filed under: uncultured bacterium
Lineage: Bacteria
Description: partial 16S ribosomal RNA
Rfam family: Bacterial small subunit ribosomal RNA
Source: RNAcentral
GACGAACCACACGAACGUUAUUCGGAAUUACUGGGCUUAAAGGGUGCGUAGGCUGUGCAGAAAGUUAGGUGUGAAAUCCCCCGGCUCAACCGGGGAAUUGCGCUUAAAACUACUGUGCUAGAGAAAGAUAGAGGUGAGCGGAACUUCGGGUGGAGCGGUGAAAUGCGUUGAUAUCCGAAGGAACACCGGUGGCGAAAGCGACUUCCUGGACCAGUACCGACGUUCAGGCACGAAAGCGUGGGGAGCAAACAGG